This 252-nucleotide ribosomal RNA is filed under the name uncultured bacterium. RNAcentral's name for it is "partial 16S ribosomal RNA". It matches the Rfam family "Bacterial small subunit ribosomal RNA", at positions 524 to 776 of the family's 1533-position model. The record is from RNAcentral.
AACGUAGGUUCCGAGCGUUAUCCGGAUUUACUGGGCGUAAAGCGCGUUCAGGCGGUUCGGCAAGUCGGGCAUGAAAUCUCUCGGCUCAACCGGGAGAGGUUGUCCGAUACUGUUGGACUUGAGGGCAGUAGAGGGUGGUGGAAUUCCGGGUGUAGUGGUGAAAUGCGUAGAUAUCGGGAGGAACACCAGUGGCGAAGGCGACUACCUGGCCUGUUCUUGACGCUGAGGCGCGAAAGCUAGGGAGCAAACGGG